GAUGAACGCUGGCGGCGUGCCUAAUACAUGCAAGUCGAGCGAACGGACGAGAAGCUUGCCUCUCUGAUGUUAGAGGCGGACGGGUGAGUAAAACGUGGAUAACAUACCUAUAAGACUGGGGUAAAUUCGGGAAAACGGAGCUAAUACCGGAUAAAAUUUCGAACCGCAUGGUCCAAAAGAGAAAGAAGGUCUUGCCGACACUUAUAGAUGGAUCCGCGCUGCAUUAGCUAGUUGGUAAGGUAACGGCUUACCAAGGGAACGAUGCAUAGCCGUCCUGAGAGGGUGACCGCCCACACGGGACCUGAGACACGGUCCGGACCCUUCGGGGGGGCACCGGUGGGGAACCUUCCGCAUUGGGCGAAGGCCUGACGGAGCACGGCCGCGUGAGUGAGGAAGGUCUUCGGAUGGUAAACUUCUUUUAUUAGGGAAGAAGGUAUGCGUACGUAUCUGUGCACAUCUUGACGGUACCUAAACAGAAAGCCACGGCUAACUACGUG
RNAcentral lists this ribosomal RNA (497 nucleotides) under uncultured bacterium. Its description in RNAcentral is "partial 16S ribosomal RNA". It matches the Rfam family "Bacterial small subunit ribosomal RNA", at positions 28 to 507 of the family's 1533-position model. The record is from RNAcentral.